GUAGGUGAACCUGCGGAAGGAUCAUUACCGAGUAUUGGGUCUUAGUGCCCGCACUCCAACCCUUUGUGUACCUAAAUCUGUUGCUUUGGCGGGCCCGCGGUGUAAUGCCGCUGCCGGCUCACGCUGGUCAGCGCCCGCCAGAGAACCGUUAAACUCUUGUUUAUUCAGUGUCGUCUGAGCAAAAAUCUAAUUAUUAAAACUUUUAACAACGGAUCUCUUGGUUCUG
RNAcentral lists this unclassified non-coding RNA (226 nucleotides) under rhizosphere metagenome. RNAcentral describes it as "partial ribosomal RNA internal transcribed spacer region". The record is from RNAcentral.